UGGGGAAUUUUGGACAAUGGGCGAAAGCCUGAUCCAGCAAUGCCGCGUGUGUGAAGAAGGCCUUCGGGUUGUAAAGCACUUUUGUCCGGAAAGAAAUCCUUGGCUCUAAUACAGUCGGGGGAUGACGGUACCGGAAGAAUAAGCACCGGCUAACUACGUGCCAGCAGCCGCGGUAAUACGUAGGGUGCAAGCGUUAAUCGGAAUUACUGGGCGUAAAGCGUGCGCAGGCGGUUUGCUAAGACCGAUGUGAAAUCCCCGGGCUCAACCUGGGAACUGCAUUGGUGACUGGCAGGCUAGAGUAUGGCAGAGGGGGGUAGAAUUCCACGUGUAGCAGUGAAAUGCGUAGAGAUGUGGAGGAAUACCGAUGGCGAAGGCAGCCCCCUGGGCCAAUACUGACGCUCAUGCACGAAAGCGUGGGGAGCAAACAGGAUUAGAUACCCCUGGUAGUCCACGCCCUAAACGAUGUCAACUAGUUGUUGGGGAUUCAUUUCCUUAGUAACGUAGCUAACGCGUGAAGUUGACCGCCUGGGGAGUACGGUCGCAAGAUUAAAACUCAAAUGAAUUGACGGGGUCAUAGCUG
This 580-nucleotide ribosomal RNA is filed under the name uncultured bacterium. Its description in RNAcentral is "partial 16S ribosomal RNA". It matches the Rfam family "Bacterial small subunit ribosomal RNA", at positions 355 to 932 of the family's 1533-position model. The record is from RNAcentral.